Molecule: non-coding RNA, 2254 nt
Organism: Myodes glareolus (Bank vole)
Lineage: Eukaryota; Metazoa; Chordata; Mammalia; Rodentia; Cricetidae
Source: RefSeq, a predicted model, not a curated record
GACAGAGAGAGUUAACCAUUGCUAGGGGAGAGGCUCCUGAAGCCCAGACCCCAGGAUUUAGAGAUGGUGACCAUGGCUGAUGGCUGAGUGUCACAUGUCCGGGUCCAGUUCCAGCAAGUAUGCCACUUCGCAGAGUAGGAGCACGGGGACUCAUGGACUAGUGGUAUCCUUGUCAAAGCUGGUCCUCGACAGCCAUAUUGCUCCCAUCACAGGGGGAGGUGGAGACUUAAUGGGAAUGCAUUACAUACCAGAGUACAUCAGCUGCUUUGCAAGCAGAAGAGGCAUGGAGCCAUUUGAAACUCAACGACAAAUGUAUCCUUUGACAAGGGCCCUUCACUUCCUAAGAAAUAAAGGCGCUUUCCAGUGCCAAGGUGCGCGCUGGGAUGCCAGCAGCCGGCAGAGCCCCUGCAAAGCACAAACCAGAAGCGGCUGUGCAGGUCUGAUGUUAUCUCAGCUGCAUCCCAUUCCCCCGACAGCCCCAGCCUCCCUUUCUUGCUGGCAGUUUGUGUGAUACUUGGGGAGCUGGGUUGGGCUGUUUGGUUUGCUUCCUGUGUGAGGCGUCUGCACUCCUGGAGCCUAGCUUCCUAUUGAAAGUUCGUAUUUGGAGCCCGCCUGCCUGUCUUCCUGCGGAACGCCGCCGUGUACUGCUGCCUCUGCCCAGCCUGGUCCCACAAAGCGCCAGGAACAGCCUGUGGCAGAAGGACAAGCCCCUUGUCUCAGUUGAUCUCUCCCAGACACCGUCAGGGUCCUGACAAACGAACCCCCUUGCUCUAAUCUGCUGUUGCCAUCUGUUUCUGGCCUCUGUGUUUGGGGGCGUGGUCCUGGAAGGAUUCCUUUCUUCUGGUGAGCCAGCCCAUGCCCUCUGACUGCUGGGACCACUCCUGGAACGGAGGAGAGUAUGUCCCAGCACCACAGCCCUGGGUGUUGCUAACAGGGAUGGCUUCUCACAGCAGUUCCUGCUGAUCAGAAGUGACCCCCCAAGAUCCAGUAGGAAGGGGUUAUUUAUGUGACCUGGAAGUUUCCCUGCAGACUGUCGCUUCCUUCCAAGAGGGAAAAUUCUACCUUAUGGAGUGGAAAAGCCUAAGCAGGUGACCAAAUCUAACAUCAGCCUCUCCGGGCCACAGACACCCAGCACUUCUGGAAAUGACUGAGGCACCCAGGGUCAUACUCUUGCAACAUUCCAGCCCAGAGGGAGGUCAGAGCCCAGCGUGAGCCGGAGAAGAACGACACACCCCGCUGAAGGAAUGGUCUGUCAGAUAACUCAUCUGUGUCUUCUAAAGUUCCAGAGUUGCUGAUGUAAGCUAAAGGAAAGUCGCCUCCUGUCUGGUGGUGUGCAGCUGUGAUCCCAGCCCUCAGAAAGGCCAUGAAUUCAAGGCCAGCCUGGGCUACACAGUCAACCUGUCUCAAACACAAACCAAUAAACAAACGACAAGUCCAACUAGCGAAACGAGUGGGGAGAGAGCAAUAAUAGCUGUUUAGCUAAAGCAGAGUAAAGAUCCGGGUGUGGUGGCUCAUACCUGUAAUCCCAGCAAUUGGGAGACUGAAGCAGGGGGAUUGCUGGGUGCUCGAGGCUGCCUCAGACUGCACAGUGAGUGGCUACUGAGAUCUGGUAGCAGGGGUGAUGAGGGAAAAGGCUAGUGUGGUGACGUACAGUGGGGCAGAGCCCGGGGAAUUGGUAAGUUCAAUGCCUGGGCUUCCAAAUGAGAUGUGUGGCAGGAUGGCGGCAGGCCAGUGAUGUGUAGGAUGUAAAGGAAUUGAUGGGAAAGACAGAGGAGGAUGGAGGAGAAAGUUCCCUACCUUCAACCCCAUCUCUGGGAGGAGGGUGGAAGUCUUUUAGCAACUGGGCUUGGUUGUUUAGUCUUAUCUCACAGGCCACUUGUCUGGGUCUGUAUCAGAGGGGACAGGCGGGCUGUGUUGUUAGGCAGUAAAAUUUAAAGCUGAACUUAUUUGUCCUUCUGGGCUAUUUAGGGCCAAGUCCUGUGGGUCACUGGGAGUUAGGCUCUGCCUGUUUAUAAAAGAUGUGCCAAGUCACAGGGGCAGGAUCUGAAUGUUAAAAUUCGGGGAUUUUUGUCUUAUUUAAUUGUGAACGUUUUGUCUCUAAAUCCUAGCUCUAAAAAUAAAAGUACUGGCUUAAUGGUAAGUUUCCCAAAUCUGACUCCCAUCUGACUCCCAAAAGUUGCCCUCUGACAUGUGUGUAUGUGAGAGUGUGCAUGAGUGAGUGUAUGUGAGUGUGUGUGUGUGUGAGAGAGAGAGA